UAUUUUUAUUUGUUUCAAUACUGAAGGGGC
RNAcentral lists this non-coding RNA (30 nucleotides) under Rattus norvegicus (Norway rat). The record is from RNAcentral. Lineage: Eukaryota; Metazoa; Chordata; Mammalia; Rodentia; Muridae.